GACGAACGCUGGCGGCGUGCCUAAUACAUGCAAGUUGAGCGCUGAAGGUUGGUACUUGUACCCACUGGAUGAGCAGCGAACGGGUGAGUAACGCGUGGGGAAUCUGCCUUUGAGCGGGGGACAACAUUUGGAAACGAAUGCUAAUACCGCAUAAAAACUUUAAACACAAGUUUUAAGUUUGAAAGAUGCAAUUGCAUCACUCAAAGAUGAUCCCGCGUUGUAUUAGCUAGUUGGUGAGGUAAAGGCUCACCAAGGCGAUGAUACAUAGCCGACCUGAGAGGGUGAUCGGCCACAUUGGGACUGAGACACGGCCCAAACUCCUACGGGAGGCAGCAGUAGGGAAUCUUCGGCAAUGGACGAAAGUCUGACCGAGCAACGCCGCGUGAGUGAAGAAGGUUUUCGGAUCGUAAAACUCUGUUGGUAGAGAAGAACGUUGGUGAGAGUGGAAAGCUCAUCAAGUGACGGUAACUACCCAGAAAGGGACGGCUAACUACGU
This 496-nucleotide ribosomal RNA is filed under the name uncultured bacterium. RNAcentral's name for it is "partial 16S ribosomal RNA". It matches the Rfam family "Bacterial small subunit ribosomal RNA", at positions 28 to 506 of the family's 1533-position model. The record is from RNAcentral.